RNAcentral lists this ribosomal RNA (259 nucleotides) under uncultured soil bacterium. Its description in RNAcentral is "partial 16S ribosomal RNA". It matches the Rfam family "Bacterial small subunit ribosomal RNA", at positions 26 to 285 of the family's 1533-position model. The record is from RNAcentral.
AGGACGAACGCUGGCGGCGUGCUUAACACAUGCAAGUCGAACGGUGAUCCGGUGCUUGCACCGGUGAUCAGUGGCGAACGGGUGAGUAACACGUGAGUAACCUGCCCCCGACUCUGGGAUAACCCCGGGAAAUCGGAGCUAAUACCGGAUACGAGACGCACAGGCAUCUGUUGCGUCUGGAAAGAAUUUCGGUCGGGGAUGGACUCGCGGCCUAUCAGCUAGUUGGUGGGGUAAUGGCCCACCAAGGCGACGACGGGUA